UCUGAGAAUCUUGCUAAUAUCUUCCUAUUUUAUCAUAUGAAUUUGAAAUCUCAAGUUUUCUGACUUACACUUAAAGAUAAAACUUCAAGUCUUCAAGAUCUUCUAGUGCUCCAACAAAAUCAGAGAAUGCAUGGGCAUCUCAUUAUGUUUAUUCGAAAUCAGAGGUCAAAUGCAAUUACCUCUAGAUUUCCGGACUUUGUCCGAUGGUCUUUCUUGCCUGCAAUGGUUGUCUUCCACUCAAGUAAAACUCCUAUGAUUUUCCCUUCUAAUCUUUGGAUUUUCACUGACUUUGCUCGCAUCAUCAAUCUUUUUGUCGCUCUCCACUAUCGAUUUGAAUUUUUUUUUGAACUCUAAGGCUUCAAUGGACACUAUAAAUAGAGCCUUCAAUUCUCUCACCUAACACGACCUACCACCUAAUACAGCAUAGAAAAUAAAAUAGAAUUAAAAAGCCCUAAACUUCUCACUGAUUUUCUUUUCUUUCUCCGGUUCUGAGUUCAUACACUGUCUGGACUUGAGUUUUUGUUUCCUAACGGCUAAAUAAAAGGCUUUGCUUGAUUUGCUGCUCUGCAAAAGGUCGGUGUACACUGACCCUCCCUUUCACUUAAAUUAUGUUUCUUUAUUUAGUGAUUUUGAUGUAUUCUCUUGGGUCAUAAUACAUGUUUGGUAAUUUUUGGAUUGCCUAUUAUAUUCUCUGUCGUUCUUAUUAACAUAAAUGGUUAUCCUCAUGGUAAUCAUGUAUUUCUAGUUAACAUGUGACUUAAUUGGAUAACACCUGCUAUAAUGAAAUUGUAAAAUUUUUUGUUGAACUUUUGUUACUACUUUAAAAGACUUCUGAUGUUCUUUUAACCUUGCCACCAUGCUAACUUGACUAAACCGUGAUCUCAGACCCAUAUAAUGUUUUGCUAGGAACUUAUGUUUGCUAAUUCUGUAUUGCACUAGUUGUAGGGUUUAAUUAUGUUAUACUAUUAUUGAUCCAUGCCAUGCUUAACCUGUAUACCUUGAACGAUAUUUAUUAUGUACACUUAAGGAUCCAAUGUGAGUUUAUUAUUGUAGUCUGAACUCACUAGUUUAGUUGUCAGGCUAUCUGCUUUUCAACUAUGUCAUGUCAUCUUGUGAGUCUUGAAAAACAUCACUGCACAAUGAGCUUGCGUUUCUUUUGUUAGGUCUUGCAUUUAUGUAUAUGCCUAGCUAUACUUAUGAGCAUUCUUAUCUGAAGGAUUAAUGUCUAAGCCACUAUACUUUUAUUUAUUCAUAGAAGAGUAAGUUGAACCUUACGAGUUUUGACAGCUUAACAAAAUGAAGAAUUUGAGGAGAGAAGCUACUGUUUGAACUCAUAGGCUCUAACAAAUUCUUAAUGUAUGUUUCCCCAGUUAAAAUGAAUAUUAUUCUAUGUUAAUUGAUUACCUCUAUUCGUAUAGGGUUAGUUAUGAUUCUGGAUGUUUUGAUUAAGAAUUUAAGGAACUAGUGAUCCUACUACUAUGUUUGUAUCAUACUAAGAUUGACCUUCUUGCCUACAUGUGUAUCACUCCCUAAACUGACCAUACCAAGUUAAACUUUAUCAUGUUUGGGUUGAUGCAUUCACCUGUGUAACUGGACUAGUAAUCUUACUAUUAGUACCUUGCUUACUUCAUGUGAAAUCUCCAUUGUUCUAAACUCUUAUACUGAAUUUGUUGGCUUGACCCUAUGCUCCAUCAUGUUGUAGUUUUACACUCCUUAGGGAUAUAUUUGUAUGAGCUUGAUUGUCUGCACUUGGACUGCUAUGCUAAUUCUGUUAUCAAACACUCUCUGCUUAUCUUUCAUACUCAUGCCUAUGUACUUCAUUGCCCUAUCACAUAAUGAAGAUUGUAUAAGUCAACUAUAAUUCAUUUAUGGAUUUGAGAUAAUCUUCUGAUCAUAUUUGUUUUUCUUGAGUAGGAUGUUAUGCCUUGACUCUUACUGAACCCGGCGAGAAUGUGAUAUCAUGAAUGAUUUAUGGAGAAAGUGAUCGCCUAUUAGAGUUGAAAUCAAUUUGCUAAUUUACAUAAUCAUGUUGAUGCUCUCUAAAGAUCCUAUAUAAAAUUGUUAAUUCAUACACCUAUUAGAAUCCAAGACUUCCAUGUGUUUAAACCCCUGAUCAACUUAAGCCUGGAACUGUUAAGCAUGAGGACCCUCUGUAAAUUUGAACUAUGUACCUAUUCUAUUUCAUAAGUUGUUUGACUCAAUAGUCUGACCUUUCGAAAUGAUCUGCCACUAAUCGUUUCCCUUAAUUAUACGUGUUAUCAUUUUCUUUGGAUGUUCUUCUGUAUAUAGGUGGUUCUUAACAAUGAACUACACACUGGUGUUUAAGUUGUGAUUUCUUUAGUAUUGUCUGUUAUUACAUCUUCAAAAUAACAUUCAACAUAGUUUCUCUUGGAAGUACAGAUGCCUAAGCAUGUGUAUGAUUGUUACAGUUGUACUAAAAUUUGCAUUGAAUGCCUCAUUGGCUUUUAAACCUAUAGGGAAGAGUAAGUGUGAGUGGAUAGGUGUAUUUACGAGUGAGAUUUAGUUUGUAGUUGAGAUACUCUCCUUGACACAUGCACUGCUCGGGGUCAUUGAGACCCUUGUGAAAUUUGAAGUGUCAGGGGCUCAAAGAGUGUCUUGGAUAUAAAUGUAAUCUCAUCUUAAGCCCUUAAUCAUUGACAGUUACUAAUCUCUUUAGGGUUAGUGUUUAAUGAAGAAAAAGGCUUCACUAUAACUUUCCUUACUCUGCCCGAUCAUACACAAGCUUAUUUACAUUUUUAACAACAAAUAUUUGUUAUAGUCUCAUUUGGACCUUAUGUUUGAUCUUAUCUUCCUUUCAACAUUUUGUUGGGUUUUUGUCACUAAUUUCUUCCUUUUUCUCUUGAACAUAUAACUGAACUGGGCCUGCUGAGGUUUCAAAAAUUCAGGCCCAAGUUCCAGCCUUUGAGUUUGAUGUCAUGGGAGCCGUUGCUGCUUGUAUGUUGUUUGCUGGGCCUAACCUUCUUCAGACCCAAAUUAUUGAGUCCAAUUCCCUUUCCUUCCUCAUUAGAAGAAUUAAAUCUGUUAUCUUUUCUUUACAUGAGUAUAAUACAAACAAAAUUGAUUGAAUGUUUUAUUUUUCCUCAAACCUUCAAGGAACCUAGACAAGCCAAGAUCUAUAGGUAAUAAAAGAAAUCACUAUUACAUUACGAUUAGUUAUAAUAUUUUGGCGCUUUGGUCAUUAUUCUUCAUUACAUAAGAUUUCACUUUUCAUUAUACUAACCAUUUUAAUGAAGUUCUUUGAAGUUCAAAACAGAUUUUGAAAAGAAAUGUAAUUCUUCUUCUAAAGCCGGAAUUGAAAAAGAAGAUUUCAAAGUCAGCUCUUUCUAUAAAUAAAAAUCAACUCGAUUGGAAUCAAACCUAUUAAACCUUUCAAUGUUUUUUCUUGAAACAUGUUGCGUCAAAUUGAAACAAAUUUCCAAAGGUAUAUUUAAGGCCCAUUUCUAACAGUCUUUAUUCUACUAGACCUUUUUACAAGUAACCAUGUUGUAAAGUGUUCAAACAUAGCCACAUCUUACACCUUUGCAAAAUCAUUUAGAUGUAAAUAUUUUAAAAGGCUUUUACAAAUUAAACCUAUCUCCUCUUUAUACAGUACAUAUAUUAUUUCCUUUCAAAAUGAUAAGUAUUUAAACAUGACAUAGGUAAGACAUACACUUUAAGCUUUAACUAAGAAAAAUAUAGAGAUCUAAUUCCUUAAACCUAGUCUAAGUCAUAUGGAGCUACCUCAGGUAGAUAUUAGGGGGUGCCUAAUACCUUCCCCUUAAAAGAACAAGAACCCUUACCCAAUUCUCAUCGGUUAGUAGAUUAAUAGGAUAAUGAUCUUAAUAAUUAAAUAGGUACCCUAGUAUACCUUUAAAUAUUAGGUGGUAACUCUCUUUUAUCGUCAACAGGGAAACCACUAGUUGAAUGUUAUUUUGACUCGCGCAAAAUAGUGUGCAACAACAUGGCGACUCUGCUAGCAACUACACAUAGGUUUUGACCUUAUCAGACUUAGACUAUACUUGGAAUAUAAGACUAUUUAUAUACUACUUUAACUAUGUUUAAUUUGCAACUAUGUUCUUACCUGUCUUACUUGCUCAUUAUGUACUUAUCUGCUUACUUUAAAUGUUAUUAUUAACAUCCCUCUAUCUGUUACCGCUUUAUAUAUACUUUCUUCACACUCUUUUCUAUCGAGUCUUGGCCGUACACUAUCAUACAUAAUGGCACGCGAGGGUUUUCUUUUACAACCCUCCUAACCUUCUUUUAAAAUUCUUUAGUUCCAGAGAAUGGCUUUUUCAGGACAAGUGACAUAACUUCUCGCAGUAUUCAGUCCAACUCAAAAUUAGCGAACACUCUACUCUAGCAAACAUAGGUCAUAUUGCAUAAACCUUAAGUGAGUCGUUCCUUAGCAUCAACACACAAUUAGGAAAGCCACUCUAAUUCCAAUGGGUCAUGAACCCAACGACAUGACUUUUAUGGAAAGAUGAACUAAUCAUGAUGAGAUACUAAUGAUCCGAAGCAAACCCUUAUCAACCCCUUUUCUCUACCCUCUUCGGAAAUGGAAAACAACCAGAACAUCCCCGAAAUCAAUAUGGUAAUGGGGGCACUGCACAAGCUCAAGAAAUGGUGGAAAAACAUCCGCCGAGAGCAUGGAGACGAAAUAAGGACGCACCUGGGAGCAUUAACUACCUUACUGAACAUUCAGGCCGAUAGGGUACUCACCUGCUUGCUGAUAGAGUUCUGGGAUUCGACCAAGGUGGUUUUCAAGUUCGCUAAUUGUAAGUUGGUGCCAGCAUUGGAAGACGUUACCAGAUUCUCAAAGCUACCAUUUAUAGGGAGGAAGCCGAUACUACCGGUCACCAUGCCUGGCUAUACGUUUCUCGAUGCUUUAGGUUUGGUGGGUGGUCGGAGCUUAAGGAACAUCGAAGAUGGAUGGGUUAGCCUGGACCAAUUGAUUGAUAGGUUUGGACAUCGUGAGAGCUAUGAAUGGUACUUGGGAGAAUUUCAGUGUGAUCAUGCAAUCCGAGAAAGUCUCUGACCCAUACCCUUCUCUUUGGCACUGUUAGGACUGCUGGUUUUCAAAUAAAGAAGAGGAUGGAUUAAUAUCAACUUGCUUUUUGUGGUCUUGGAAACAUUCAAGGGCAACCUCCAAGCCACCUUGAUACCUACGGUGUUAGCAGAAAUUCUCAGAGCAUUGUCUACAUGUUCCCGGGGGUAUGAUUCUUUCAAGGGCUACAACUUGUUGGUUCAAAUAUGGGCCAUAAAGCACUUCUUUUAACAAGAGGCCACAGUUGAUUACUUCGUAGGUGUUAGCAACAUGAUUCGUAGUCAUAGUGAGGGAAUGAAACAUUGGGCUGAUAGGACUCCUAAAAGUAUUUCAUUGAGCUGAUAGGACUCGAGGGCAUCAAUCCAUAUGCACCCCUACAAGUUCUCAAGCACUCUGGGUUGAUUCAAUAUGUACAUCUCUUGAUGAGGACGGUACUGUAUGAAGACGAGUACAAUGGAUGGAUCCCUAUGCCAAGGAUAAGGAGGCUUAAGGAGGAGUGGAUCGAUCUAAUCACAAUGUCAAUGGGUCAGAAUUCGUGGUGCACUCCAGAGUAUUAUGUCUCGAUCAAUGACGAAGAUGAACUAGCCCGACCAAGCAGGGAAGGAAAAUCCUGGCUGGAAGAUGCAGUGGCAGCCUUGCAAAUCUAUCAUGAGAUUUUUCCGCACUACCUCAUGACUACCUCCAUGCACCGCCAAGUGGUCCCAGGGUUAAUUGAUCAUAUGCUGCCACCUCCCGAAGAUAAUGACCGAAUGGUUGAGUGUAUACAAAUUGAUCUGAGACACAAUUAGAAGAAGACCUAAAGGAAGAGCCUGAAUUCAAUGAUGAUGAAGAAGAAUUUGAAGAAGACCCGGAAGAAGAAUAGGAAGAAGAAGAAGAGAUGGGAAUGAUUCUGAGGAUGGUUGUUAGAAGCUGGUUGAUUUUACUCCUUGUCCCAUCUUAUAUCUUAUAUCUCGAACCUAUCCAUUUCCUGACGGGCAAGUUUGUUGAGCCUAUGUAAACUUAUGAAUGUUGAAAACAUUAAUGUAACAUUUGCUCUCGCAUGUUACAAUCCAAAUAUUAUUAAUGAAAACUAGAGUUUGUCAAGGUCUACAGACGCCAAGGCAGCUACCUCGAUAAUCUCCGAAAGGCUGAAACUGCAAGAUCAGCAACCACCGUGCCAAGAAACACCUGGAUCUGCACACGAAGUGCAGGCUGUAGCGUGAGUAUAACCAACUCAGUGAGUAAAAAGUCUAAACUUUGGUCUGAAAGUAGUGACGAGCUCAAACAGUAUAGAAAAAGUAUAGAUUUUAACAAUACAAAAAAUGUAGACAUGCUUCCAGGUUUAACAGUGUAGUUCAACGCAAAUAAACUAUUCCAAGUGUGACUGAAAUGAAUAAUAUGACAUCUCUAUAUCUACAUGCCAAUAUGAAUACCGUAUGUGAUGCAACACACUGAAACCUCAAGUACUCACACUCUUUGACCACUUAAUCUGACUGUCUCAAUUCUCGCUCGUCACACUCAGUCACUCAGCACUGUACGGAACCUGUUGUGGCGUGCAACCCAAUCCACAUAUAGCCCUAAGGCCUAUUGUUGCGCGCAACCCUAUCCACAUAUAGCCAUAAGGCUUGUUGCAACGUGCAACCCGAUCCACAUAUAUAGCCAUAAGGCUUGUUGCGUGUAACCUGAUCCACGUAUAUAGCCAUAAGGCUUGUUGCAGCAUGCAACCCGAUCCACAUAUAUAUCCAUAAGGCUUGUUGCGGCGUGCAACCCGAUCCACAUAUAUAUCACUCACUGCACGGCACUCAGGCCCCAACUCAGUCAUCAAUCUCUUCAGUCUUUCUGGCUCACAAAUCUCAUGCAAAUUAGCCCAAAAGAUGAUAUAUGACACAACAAUAAUAGUAAUAGAGACUCAGAUAUGAUAUGCAAAUAAUGGAUAUGACUGAGUACAAAAUUGCUAUCUAAGCAAAUAAUUCAACAACAGAAAUGACCACAGUGGGUCUUAAUAGGAUAAACAUAUACCUUAAUAUGAUUUCUAACACGAAUCGGUAGCUCAAUUACUUUAACACACAGAUAUCACAUGAAUGGCUAAAAGGUCUGAUGACUACACAGUACCACAAAAUCAACCGAAUCAUAAUUUCUACGGUGAACGCCCACACGCCCAUCACCCAGCAUGUGCGUCACCUCAACACCAAUCACAUAACAUAUAAUGCAGGGAUUCGUACCCUCAGAACCAAGUUUAGAAGUGUAACAUACCUCAAACCAAGCAAAUCUAUACUCCAAUAAGCCCCUGCCUUGUGAAUCAGCCUCCGAACGUCUCGAAUCUAGCUACAAACAAUUUGACAGAAUAAACACGAGCUAUAGAAAUUAAUUCCAUAUGAAAAUGCUAAGUUCAUAAUAAAAAGUAGAAAAGCCAGCUCAAAAGUAAACCCCAAGCCCACGUCUCGGAACCCAACAAAAGUCACAAAAUCCGAACAUCCAUUCGACCACAAGUCCAACCAUACAAAAUUUACCGAAUUUCGACACCAAAUCAUCACUCAAAUCCCCAAUUUUAACUCUCCAAUCCCUAGCCCAAAACUCCCAAAAAUCCACGUCAAAAACACAUAAACUAGGUGGAAAAUUCAAUGGGUAAUCAAUGUUAUUGCAUAAAAAUGGUCAAAAGUCACUUAUCUCAAGAGAUCACGCAAAACCCCUCACAAAAAUUGCCUUAAUCCGAGCUUGCAAAGUCCAAAAUAAUAAAAAUCUCGGAACCCUCGAAUUUAAACACUGCCCAGGUAUUUCCGCACCUGUAGAAUUACUUUUGCGAUAAAAAUACUACUUCUAUGGAAGUAACUUAAGUCCACAAGGUCCGCACUGUGCUCCAUGUUUCGCACCUACGGAUGCGCUUCUGCGACGACCCAUCCGCUUCUGCGAAGAAAACCCAUUCUCCUAUUCUCCGCAUCUGCGGAGCCCUGCUCGCAUCUGCGGGCUCACAGAUGCGGAAGACCCCUCAUACCUACGACAAACCCCAUACCAGCCCAGCUCCACUUCUAUACUACAUCAGUCGCACCUACGGCAUUGCAUCUGUGGCUAAAUCCCUCUCAGGUACGAUCACACUAGAAGGCAAAAAUCUAGAAUUGCUUCAACUUCAACUUCAACUUCAACUUUUGGUCCAUUAACCAUCCAGAAUCCACCCGAGGCCCCCAGGACCUCAACCAAAUAUACCAACAAGUCCGAAAACAUGAUACGAACUUAAACCAGGCCUCAAAUCACAUCAAAUAACAUCAAAAACAUGAAUCGCACCCCUAUUCAAGCCUAAUAAAAACUAAGAAAUUCCAACUUCUACAAUCGAUGCUGAAACCUAUAAAAUCAAGUGCGAUUAAACUCAAAUUUUGCACACAAGUCAUAGAUGACACAACGGUCCUUUUCCAACUUUCAGAACCAAAAUCCGAGCCCGGUAACCACAAAUUCAACCCUCGGUCAAACUCCUCAACUUUCCAAACUUCUAAUUUUCAACCUUCGCUGUUUCAAGCCAAAAUCAACUACGGACCUCCAAAUCACUAUUCAGACACACUCCUAUGUCCAAAAUCACCCAGCGGAACUAUCGAAACCAUCAAACCUCCCUUUUGGAGCCAUUUACACAUAAGUCAAUAUCAGGUCAACCUUUUCAACUUAAGCUUCCAUCUUUGAGACUAAGUGUCUUAACUCAUUCCGAAACAUCCCCGGAACCAACCCAACUACCUCAGCAUGUCACAUAACAACAAUUGAGCAUAAAAUAAGCAGUAAAUAGGGGAACGGGGCUACAACACUCAAAUCGACCGGCCGGGUCAUUAUAAGAGAGGUCUUUCAAACUCUAGGAAACGCGCUUGCAUGAAAAUAUGAAGUAACUGCUCUAUGUGCAUAUAUUUAUGCGAACAUUAAAACUGACUUCUAUUCUUUUUCUAUUUCUUUUCUUUCCUUUUCUUGUAUUACUUAUUAUUAUUAUUCAACAAAAAAGGAAGUUGGUUUGUGUUGACCUAAAACUGGUGGAACCAUCAUACAACUUGAGAUUGAAAGGGAAGAUGUCCGCGAUAGGUUACCUGACCGAACACGCUCUAAUAAUAGCUGAUAGCCCGGGGCGAACUGUAGAGAAGGAUGAUACUCGAAAUGAAGAACAUGUUGCUAGGAUGGCUCAAGAGAUGGAAUGGUUAAGGGAGGCAGUACAACAUAUUCGGGAAUUGGCACAUUUGGUCGUGGCAACGCUCCCACAAUUACCCCGUUUUCCUUCUCUAGAUUCAAUCCCCGACCACUUUCCUUUAACUACUAGCCAAGCACAUGAUACCCCGACUUUAGUCCCUACAACCUAGAUUAUACCCCUUGUAACCCUUGUGAACCCACCAAACCGUCCUAUAAACACCCCUUAAGUACCAAAUUAUGUUCAAAUGCCUCAAAAUCCACUAGUUGCUACCAAUGCAGUUCAUAGCCCUACUCGUGAUGGCAUCACCUUCACCACUAACAAAGCUAAGCACAUACAUGCGACACAUACCGCUGCACACGAGCGAUAUGUUCCUCCUGUAUAUGAUGUGUCAGAACCCACCUUCACAACACCCAUCACGGUCAGGCUGCCUUAUGAUUUUGACCUAUAUGCCGAAAUGAAAAGGGAAGCUAAGUAUAAGGAGGAAGAGUCGGUAUCCAAACAGUUAUGGGCAUUGAGGAAAUAAAUAAAGAACCUUCAGGUCGCUUAAGGUAGACAAAGUCUUGAUUAAGAGGAUCUGUGUAUACACCCUGAUGUGGACAUGCCGAUAAGGUACAAGGCUCCGAAGUUUGAUAUCUUUGAUGGAACAGGUGAUCCCCAUGGACACUUGAGAGCCUACUAUGAUAAGCUAGUUGGAGUAGGAAGAAAUGAGAAGUUGAGAAUGAAGCUAUUCAUAAGGAGUCUGACAGGGGAGGCGCUUACUUGGUACACUCGCUAAUAUCCCAAACACUGGAAGGAACAGAAGGAUAUGGCAGAAGAUUUCAUGAACCAUUUUCUAUUCAAUACCGAAAUUACCCCUAAUAGGUUCGCCCUAGUAAACUUGCAGAAGAAGCCAUAAAAAUUAUUUCAAGAGUAUGCACGUCGGUGGAGGUCGGAGGCCGCAAGAGAACAAUCCCCGUAAGAUGACAUUGAGUUGACUAAGUACUUCAUCAGGGCUUGGGAAGGAAUCUACUUUGAGAAAAUGAUGGGCAUGAUGGGGCAGAAGAUCCAUGAACUUGUUUAAAUGGGAGACUUUCUAUAGGAAGGCGUAACAUCCGGUAAGGUACAAUCUAUGGCCGCAUUGCAAGUAGCUAGUAAAGCAAUCCAAUCCAGCUCAAUAGGCAGCAGAAAGAAGAGAAAGGAAGAAGGAUCAACAAUCAUUCCCUAUUACCAGUCCAAUCCACACAAUGGAAACAACUCUUACUCUCCAAAUACCCAUUCUCCACACCAACCUACUUAUGCUCCAGUAUACAACACACAACCAUACUACAAUCUCCAACCUCAAUAUAACCUACCUCGCACCCAUAUAAAUCCAAAUCUGCCAUGACCAUAUGCUAAAAUUCAAACUACCACUCAUCAAAAUUGACCCAUAUAUGCACCCAGACAUCACCCAAAUUUUGAAGAAAUAGGUCCCAGAAACUACACCCUGAUUGCUGAACCUUUGGCUCAAUUGUUUGAAAGACUGAGGAGAGCUGGCAUGAUACAUCCGAUAAAAGGGAGGAUUCUUGAGAAUCCUUCAAAAUACUUUGAUGCAACCAAAUGGUUCUUCUACCAUUCAAACAUACUGGGUCAUGAUACCAAGGAUUGCUUCAAACUUAAAAAUCAAAUUGAGUCAUUGAUCAAACAUGAAGCCAUUAAGUAUACCCAGCUCUGCCCAAUGUGAACCGUAACCAAUUUCCAAACCAUCGGAAUCAAGGAGAUAAUAUGACCACCCUGGAUGAAGAGUAUGACUUAAAAGGAACCAUUGUACAAUCGGGAAUACUGAGGUUAUGAGGGUUCCACCUCGAAGGACUCUAAUGAUCAUUGUACAGUUAAAACAUACAGUGAUUGUCCAGACAUAUUAGCAAUAGUCCACCGCCACUAUCAAGGAUGAAGAGGAUCAGGAAUACAAGAUAGUCCAAUGGACAUAUAAGAAGAAAGGGAAAGACAAGAUGACAGAUUUCGCAGCGGCUCAUGCAAUGACCAGGUCAUAGGAGGUGUUAUGCUCCAGUGGAAGUAAACCGAGGGAAUCCAGGAAGGGAAUAAAUUCAGAGAAGGAAUAUAAUAGAACCGGAGGUUGCAGAAUUCUGGAAGAAGAUGUCAACUAAAGAAUACUCUGUGGAAGAAUAAUUAAAGAAAACCCCUGCGCAAAUAUCAAUCAUGGAUCUACUGGUGAGCUCUGAUAGUCACAAAGAUGUCCCGAUAAAAGUGUUAAGUGGAGUGAGCAUGCCAAGCAACUCUACCAGCGAGGCACUAGCAGCAACUAUCGGGGAGAUGGUCGAGACGAACAUGAUUAACUUUCGAUGAGACAAACUUCCCAUAGAAGGCAUGGGUCACAACAUAACUUUACACAUCACCGUCAAAUAUAGAGAUAAGAUGGUGUCCUGAGUAUUUGUUGAUGGAAUAUCAGGGGUUAAUAUAAGUUGGCUCUACAAGUGAUGGACAUUUCAUCCUCAUAUAAGUUGUUGCUAGGAAGACCCUGGAUACAUAUGGCAUGGACAGUCCCGUCUACCGUCCAUUAGUGCAUGAAGUUUGAGUGGUGUUGUCAAGAUAUUGUAGUUCAUGGCGAAUGGAGCCAGUCAGCUUAUCUAGAACAUGCAGUUCCAUUCAUAGAAGGAUUAGAUGGGGCCGCUUUUCAUGUGGUCGAAAUCAUAUAGAUGACGGAGAUAGAAGAUACUAAGCAAAACAUGGGUAUGCAGUCACCAUUCAGAUUAAAGAUGGCUAUGAGAGAAAUGAUGAAGUAAAAAUAUAGACUAGGGACCGGCCUGGGAGCCCGAUCAGAUGGCAUAACAGAGCCAAUUGAGCCAAGUAGGCAGAAAGGUAGAGGCGACAUAGGGUAUCAGCCUCCAACUGGAAAGCCUUAUAUAUGUGUCUUUGUGAAGAAAGCUUUUAUGCCAGAGCGUGUUUCGGGUCCGGUUCAGAGCUCAAAACCAGAGGACGACAUCGUCGAUGGAAUGGGUAUGUUGUGCGUGACCAUGAUCGAAGAAUGCUGUGACAAAGUUGAUACCAAGACACCGACCAUUCAGAAUGUCAAACCAGGAGAGGACAUGGAGAAUUAGACUGCCAUCCCAUCUUUGUUUCGCCGGGAGUCUUGUAAUCAAAAUGAAAAAAACCCGUAUUCCACGAUUAUGACAUGUAAUAAAACCCUCGAGCAAAGCGAUCAAGAUUAUGAGGAAUACGAUGAAAGCAUGAUGCCAGAUAAUCUCCCGCAAGAGCUUGAGCAACUGGAAAGCCAUAAAACGUCUAACCUUGAGGAGACAGAAGUAUUCAACUUGGGAAGCGAAGAAGACGUCAAAGAAACUUGAAUCAGCAUCCAUUUAGAAGCAGAGCUGAAAGAAGAAUUUGUUGAGCUCUUUCAACAAUACAACGACGUAUUCACAUGGUUGUAUGAUGACAUGCCUGGAUUGAGCACCGACAUAAUUUCAUAUCGAUUGCCUACCGAUCCUGCCAGACCGCCAGCCAAAUAAAAGCCUAGAAAGUUCAAUCCGGACUUGAUUUUGAGGUUAAAAGAAGAAGUAACCAUGCAGAUAGAGGUAAACAUGGUAAGAGUCACCAAUUAUCCCACAUGGUUGGCAAAUAUCGUAUCGGUACCAAAGAAAUAUAGGAAGAUCAGGAUAUGUGUGGAUUAUCGAGAUCUUAACAAGGCAAAUCCGAAAGACGAUUUCCAUUUACCAAACAUUCAUAUCCUCAUCGACAAUUGUGCGAAGCACGAGCUGCAGUCAUUCGUGGAUUGUUUCGCCGGGUGCCAUUAGAUCCUGAUGCAUGAAGAAGAUGUAGAGAAGAUAGCGUUCAGUAUGCCUUGGGGUGUUUACUACUACAGAGUAAUGCCAUUCGGCCUCAAGAAUUCUGGUUCUACUUACAUGAGGGCCAUGACAACCCUCUUUUACGAUAUGAUUUACAAAUAGAUCGAGGUAUAUGUGGAUGAGGUCAUAAUCAAGUCUUGAAAGAGUUCAGAACAUUUGGACGACUUGAAGAAGUUUUUCGAGCGCUUGCGGAGGUAUAGUUUGAAGUUGAACCAUGCAAAAUGUGUAUUUGGAGUCCAUGCUGGAAAAUUGCUAGGUUUCAUUGUAAGCAAGAAAGGGAUAGAGUUGGAUCCUUCAAAGAUCAAAGCCAUUCAAGACUUACCUCCGCCUAAAAGCAAGAAGGAUGUGAUGAGUUUUCUUGGUAGGCUAAAUUACAUCAACCGAUUCAUAGCCUAGUCUCCGUUAAUUUGUGAGCCUAUCUUCAACCUGCUGUAAAAGGCGUACAUGUCAAAUCCACCAGUGUUGGUUCCUCUUGAACCCGGGAAGCCAUUGUUGUUAUACCUGUCAGUUUUGAACAAUGCAUUUGGAUAAGUGUUGGAAAACGACGAUGAGACCGGAAGAAAAGAGCAAGCUAUCUACUACUUAAGCAAGAAGUGUACACCAUGCGAAGCCGAAUACACUUUCAUAGAGCACGCUUGUUGUGCUUUGACUUGGAUAGUCCUGAAGUUGAGGCACUACAUGUUAACAUACACCACACAUCUAAUAUACCGGCUCGACCUUCUUAAGUAUAUCUCCUAGAAGCUGAUGCCUACGGGAAAACUGGCCAAAUGGCAGAUUCUUUUAAGAGAAAUUGACAUUCUGUACUUAAUGCAUAAAGCCAUCAAAGGACAAGCCUCAGCCGACCACCUUGCAGAGAAUCAAGUGCACAAGGAUUUUGAGCCGCUCACUACAUACUUUCCGGAAAACGAAGUGUUAUUCGCCGGAGAAAACAUUACAGAGUCAUACCCAGGAUAGAGAAUGUUCUUCGAUAGAGCAGCAAAUUUAAAAGGAGUAGGAAUUGGGGCAGUCUUAAUUUCAGUGUUGGGAUAGCAUUAUCCGGCGUAAGAAAAUAUAAGGUUCCCCUAAACAAAUAAUAUGGCCGAGUACAAAGUAUGCCUCCUCGGGAUUAGGAGUGCGGUCGACAUAAGCAUCAAGAAGUAUCUGGUCAUAGGAGAUUCUUAUAUGUUGAUACAUCAAGUUCAAGGAGAAUGGACUUCCAAGAACAUCAAGAUCCUUCCAUACCUGCAUUGCAUAAAGGAGUUGUGCAAGAAGUUCACAACAAUCAAUUUCAAGCACAUUCCCAGGAUCCAUAACGAGUUUGCCGAUGCUCUCGCAACCUUAUCAUCCAUGAUCCAGCAUCCAGAUAAGAAUUACAUCGACCCUAUUGAAAUUGAGACCAGGGAUCAACAUGCGUACGGUUUCCAUGUAGAUGGAGAGCUAGACGGUAAGCCGAGGUACCACGACAUUAAAAGGUUUCUUGAAAUAAGAAGGUAUCCAGAGACUGUCACCAAGGUUCAGAAGUGAGCACUCAAAAGGCUAGCAAAUCACUUUUUCCUUAACGGGGAAGUCUUGUAUAGGAGGAACCCAGACUUGGAUAUGUUAAGAUAUGUAGAUGUCGCUUAAGCAACUAGAAUGAUAGAAGAAAUACAUGUAGAGACAUGCAGACACCACAUGAAUGGCUUCACCUUAGCCAAGAAGAAUUUAAGAGCCGGAUACUUUUGGAUAACCAUGGAAAGCGAUAGGAUCCGCUAUGUACAGAAGUAUCACCAAUGCCAGAUCCACGAAGAUUUCAUCCGGGUUCCAACUAAUGCGUUGAAUUUAAUGGGAUCGCCUUGGCCUUUUGCCGCCUGGGGAAUGGACGUAAUCAGACCUAUAAAGCCCACUGCAUCAAAUAGAUAAUGUUUCAUCUUGGUAUAAAUUGAUUAAUUCCCCAAAUAGGUCGAAGCAUCUACAUACAAAGCUGUUAUGAAGAAAGUAGUGACAGAUCUCGUCCGUAACAACAUAGUAUGCUGAUUUGGGAUAGCCGAGUCAAUCAUCACUGACAACGCAGCCAAUCUCAACAGUGAUCUCAUGAGAGAAGUUUAGAAUCAUCCAUCGUAACUCUACAGCCUACAGACUGCAAAAGAAUGGAGAAGUUGAAGCAGCCAACAAAAACAUCAAGAGCAUUCUACAAAAAAUAGUGGACAAUCAUAGGCAAUGGCACGAGUAAUUAUCCUUUGCCUUAAUGGGUUAUCGUACUACUAUGAGGACAUCCACUGGGUAACACCAUGCAUGUUGGUAUAUGACACUGAAGCUGUGAUACCCGCAGAGGUCGACACACCUUCCUUGAGAGUCAUUCAAGAAGACAAGUUCGAUGAUAUAGAAUGGAUAUGGGUCAAGUAGGAGUAACUCAUGCUCAUUGACGAGAAGAGAAUGGAUGCAGUAUGCCAUGGUCAACUGUAUCAAAGUAGGAUGGACAGUGCCUUCAAUAAAAGGGUAAACCUCACCAAUUUAUACCGAGGCAGUUGAUUUUGAAGAAAAUAUUCCCUCAUUAAUAAGAAGUCAAGGGAAAGUUUGCGCCAAAUUGGCAAGGUCCUUAUGUGGUCCACCGAGUUUUGUCGGGAGGAGCUCUGUUCUUGGCAGAGAUGGACGGAAAAGUUAGCAUGAAGCCUAUCAACCCGGACACAAUCAAGAGAUACUAAUUCGAAGAAAGUGAAGUUAGGUUUUUGUUUAAACAAAACUAUGCCACACCUGACUUCCCAUGGAGGGAUACAUAGGCAACACACAUAUGGUCUGAUCAUUCUCUCUCGCCCACUCUUCUUUUGUAAUAGGAAAUCCAAAUACUAUUUUGUAUGUACUCGGAACUACGCCGCGACUUAAUUUCCUUUGGAAGGAAUACGUAGGCAAUCCUUAUCAGAUUCAGUCAUCUUUUGUAAUUGAACUACGUCAUGACCCAAUUCCAUUUGGAUACGUAGGCUUCCAGAGUCAGGCUCGGUCAUCGUCAUAUUUUUCUUUAUCGUUAUCCAUGAAUUACGUUCAGAUCUGAUUCCUACUCAGAUACUUUGGCAACCUAAAAAGGUUUGGUCAUGACCUUAGGAAAAUCUUUGUAAUGCAUUAGUUUAGAUUAGGAUACACUCGCAGCAACAAGAAGCCACACCAUCAGAAUAAUCUUAUUAGAUCGACAUCAAUGAGACAGAGUUUUCCAGUAACAACGUUCGUGUCUGAGGGAUUUCCUAGACAUGUCAUAAUCUGGAAUGACAACAUUUUCCAUAAGAUAAAAGAUUUUCAAAAUGUUUCCUUAAAAUGUAACAAUCUGUUCCACCUAACGAACGUCAUGGUGUAACCUCACCAAGCCUGGGGCAACGCCAAGGCUAUUGUCGACACAAACUAACACCUCCCCUGCUAAGAAUUUUUCUUUGAGUGCAGGAAUAACAAGAUACAAGGCAAAGCUGGAGCAGGCUGGGGCAAUGACGGACCCACCACUCUUAGGUAUUUUAACACCAGGCCACCGAUGCAAACGAAGCAUAUUGUAAAUAGCAAACUGUCAACUCAACCAAGCAGAGCAUGUUGUAUAUAGCGAGCCGCUGGCCCCGCCAACCAAAUCCAUAUGUAUAGUAAAUCGUUUGCUCAAACAAGCAGAGCAUGUUACAUAUAAUGAGCUGCUUGGCCCGCGAACCGAUGCCAUGUGUAUAGCAAACUGCCAGCUCAAUCAAUCAGAGCGCACUGUACAAAUCGAGUCGUCGGCUUUGCCAAUCGAAGCCCUGUAUCUAACAAAUUGUCCGCUUCGCCAACAGGAGCAUUCCUCACCGCCACUCAGCCAUAUCGAAGAUUACAAGUAGAUAGCUACAAAUCUCGUCACCAACAUUAUGCCGAAUGACAAAUGCAAUUUAGUUGCAUUCAAGAGUAUCUCUUGGGCACACUCCUUAUUUAUUUAUUU
RNAcentral lists this long non-coding RNA (16889 nucleotides) under Nicotiana tabacum (common tobacco). RNAcentral's name for it is "long non-coding RNA (NTAB_LNC000344)". Lineage: Eukaryota; Viridiplantae; Streptophyta; Magnoliopsida; Solanales; Solanaceae. The record is from RNAcentral.